AACACUUUUUAAAAUGGUAAAAAAAAAAAAAAACCGGUUAAUGGCAUUGUUGUCGCCAGCUGUCUCCUUGCUCUCUCAAUUUCACUCUCUUCUUCUUCGACAAGCUGAAAGGGAUAUGGGGGAAAUCUAGGGCUUUUACUCGGCGAAUUUGCAAGCCUUUCUUCGAUACAUCACGAACCAGGGAGAAAGCACGCUUGGACAACCACCAUAUCACCGGAGACAUCACGAACAAUAAUUCCGAUGCCAAAACCAUUCUUCUCCGACACGCGAGCUACGUCAAUAUUCGUUUUUAACCGACCUGCAGUCAGAGAAUGCCAGCGACACUCCUCUCUAGAACUCAAUAUGCAGGGUCCACGGCCUGAGGGGCCUUUUCGUCUGGCAGGGUAGGAAGAUGGAAACACUGCAUCGAGGAGGCUCUACGAUCAGCGGAUCUUCGAACAUCGUGCAUACACGACUCGAUCCAAUAACCUUCCCUUCCACCGGACAAAUAUCUAAAGACUGAUUCACCAGAUUUCUAUCGCUCCAAAUAACCCAACUUAUAACUCCAAAUCUCAAGAAUUCCUCCUCGCUCAGUCGAUUCGCCACUUAAAAGAGCAACUCACAAAUAGGUGCUUCAGCAUCAACAAUAUGUUUAAGGACAGAUUGGUGGCAAGUUGAUGUUCCGACUUCAAAAACAAAUCUCAUUAGAAAAUAUAAUGUUCUCGAGCAGUAGGAAAUACUCAACAAAUGCAAGAGUAUUAUAAACGAGCUGUCAGAGCCUUUCUCCCCACGUUGUCCACUUUGUUUUGCAGAUUCAGAAGACCUUCGGCAUUUGUUCUUCAAUUGUUAUGCUGAAAAUUGUUGGCAAAACUUGUCUGAAUGCCUCAACCUUUGUUGGUCUUUUGGUUAUGGUUUCAAGGACAAUGUUCUGUAGGUCUUUUGGUUAUGGUUUCAAGGACAAUGUUCUGUAGCUGCUGAUCGGUCCUAAGUUAAAAGAAAAGCCAAGGUUGAUUUGGGCUAAUGUAGGAAAAGCAUUGCUAACAAAACUGUGGUUUGAAAAAGCUUCCCUUUGGACGAUUCGUUUUGAGAUAGCUCGGCUUAAUAUCCUUUCUCGUGGUGUUCCUCCCUAUCCAAAGCCUUUGAAUAUUACUUCAUCCAAGACAUUAGUCUUAAUUGGAAGGCUUUCAUCUUCCCUCCAUCGUGGUCCUUUUUCGUUUUUGUUUAGUAUUUUUGCUGGUUGUAUUUUGUUAUUUUGUCCUUGUUUUAGUUUCAAGAUACUGUACUAUUUGAGUUUGGCUUUGUGCUAGUUCUUAGCAGUUUUUAGGAACCUUGUUCUUUAUUUAUUGGAGAUGAUGAGAGUGCUAAUGGGGUGUUGCUUAGUUAAGAUGUUUGGGUGCACUAAAUGAUCUUUCUGCUUUAGAUUUGUCUCUUCAUUAUACCAUUAUUCACUGUGUAUUGUCUCAUUCAUCAUCUCCAUGAAGUGGCUAGUUUCGUUUUGCAAAAAAAAAUUAUUCUAUUGUUUUACAUGUGCUAAUUCUUUCUGUUUUUCUAUUCCUCUUCAGUGCAUUAGUUGAAAGAUUUAGUAAAGCAAACAGAGGAGAGAUGUGAAAGAGGAAGCUACUAAAGAUUUGAAUGCCCUGUGGUCUCGUGUUGAUCCUAUGAGGCAUGAUCUAGAGCAAAGGCAAAGAAAUAUUGAAGUCGCCUUCAUGGAAGGUUUCUUCUUCAGUCCAAGCUUUUAAAAUGAAUCCAGUCUAGUAUUCUCAAGCAGUAAGAUAUACUCAACAAAUGCGAGAGUAUAUAAAAGAGGUGAAAACCACCGUUUCAUUUGUUUAAUGAUUGUCCAUCUUUAUUUUUAUUGUUGAAAAAUGAAAUACAGAAAAUCAGAUUUUUUUUUCUUUAUUCUUUUGUUUAAAAGAACAGUGUAUUGUUUAGGAAAUAGUUCUUAAGAAUAAGUUAUAUAAAAGAGUUGUCAAACAUAUUUGUUUUCUAAUAACUGAAAAUAAUGAAUAGUAAAUGAGAAAUGAUGACAGAAUGUAAUUCUAUGGCCCUUCUUUCCUUUUAUA
Long non-coding RNA from Cucumis melo (muskmelon), 2042 nucleotides. RefSeq lists it as uncharacterized. Lineage: Eukaryota; Viridiplantae; Streptophyta; Magnoliopsida; Cucurbitales; Cucurbitaceae. The record is from RefSeq and is a predicted model, not a curated record. The transcript has 3 exons.